GGACUGUCCAGUCCAACACUGGCUCCUCCACAUCUCAGAAAAAGGAAACAACCAUGUGGAUAGGCUCUGCAAGAUUUACAUUCGGUUUAUGUGAUUCUAGGAUCGAUGAUUCUCUCAUACAUUUAUUGCUGCUGAGAAUAUAAUUUUGGCUGAAGGCUGGAAGUAGUCCCCUACAAUUAAGCUAAGAGAACAUGAGGCAGGCAAGUAAGAGGAGAAAGAGAAACGGAAUUCUUGCUCAAAUUAAAGGACUGGACACAUCAAAUACAAGGAACAUGCUGGCCAUCUCUGCUAUACAAAGGUGGAAGGGUCUGAAUGGGUUAGUGCUGAAGAGUGUAUUACGUAUCACCCAAUAUGACAUAACAUGGAGUUGGAAAGAGUAACUGCUUCGAAUCUCAAAGGAGUAAGACCUGUCAUCAAAGUUUCUUUUUAUUAACUCAGUGGAUGUGGACUUCACUGGCUGUGCCAGCACUUACAGAUCAUUCCUAAUUGCCCUUGAAAUGUUGCUGAUGACCUUCCUCCUUAAACUGCUGUAGGAACAACAAUAAAUUUCCAAAUCAGAAUGGUGCGGCAGAGUUACUGAGACUAUGAAAUCUCCCUCAUUGUGUCUGUAAUUCUAUCCUGUCAUCCUGAUUUGGAAAUAUGUUCUUGUUUUUUUCAAUGUCACUUUGUCAAAAUCCUGGAACACUCUCCUGAACAGUAUCUUUGGUGCCCAGUUCAAGAAGGCAGAUCAUCACCACCAUCUUGACAACAAUUAGGUAUAGGCAAUAAUAGAUGGUAGUAAUGUCAAUCAUAUCAUAGAUAACUUCAUGAAUCUCCAGAAAUGUAACAAUGUGGGUUUAAAAUCAGAAUUCUAGGAGAUGGAGUUGUUCUUAGAAUUGCCACUGAAUGCUUGUCAAAUUCAUUACAGUCAGAAGACGACUCAACUCCAGAGAAAACCAUUCAGAUGGUGAGAAAACAUCCAGAAGCAAGAUGUGGAUAAUAUCCCGUUUUGCCUGGCAAAUGGCAAGUAAAUUUAUAGGCAAAAGUGAUGACUGCAGAUGCUAGAAGCCAGAGUCUAGAUUAGAGUGGUGCUAGAAAAGCACAGCAGGUCAGGCAGGAUCUGAGGAGAAGGAAAAUCGACGUUUCAGACGAAAUCCCUUCAUCAGGAAUUCUCUAAUUUAGAAAAUGGCAAAUAAAUUUAUGUCACACAAGUGCCAGGCAAUUACCAUCUUCAACAGUAGGGAAGCUAACCAUGACUCAUUAACAUUCAAUGGCAUUACUAUCACUGAAUUCCCCACUAUCUACCUCCUGAGGGUUAUAAUUGACCAGAAACUGAACAGGACUAGUCAUAAAAAUACUAUGGCUACAACAGCAGGUCAGAGGCUAGAAAUCCUACAGUGAGUAACUGAUUGAUCAAAGCCUUCCCACACCUAUAAGUCACAAGCCAAGAGUGUGGGGAGUGUAGCUCCAACAAAAUUCAAGAAGCUUGAUUCAGGACAAAAGCAUCCCACUAGGUUGGUAUAACAUCAACAAUAUUCACUUCCUCCACCACUGACACUGAGUAGUAGCAGUGUGCACUACCUACAAGAUGCACUGCAGACAUUCACCAAGAUUCCUUAAUCACCAUCUUCCAAAUCCAGAGUGACUGCUUUCUAGAAGCACAAGGGCAGCACAUGCAUAGACAGCACAUACAAGUACCCAUGCAAGACAUUCACCAUCAUGAUUGGAAAUAUAUUGCCAUUUCAUCAUUGCUGUUGUGUCAAAACACUGAAAGUUUUGCCCUAACAGCUUUGUUGUCUACCUACACUAAAUGAACUGCAAUGAUUCAAAAAGGUGGCUCACUACCAUCUUCACAAAGAUCAGAUCAAUUUAAGAUAUCUGGUCAGCAUGGAUGAGUUGGAU
Molecule: long non-coding RNA, 1881 nt
Organism: Chiloscyllium plagiosum (whitespotted bambooshark)
Lineage: Eukaryota; Metazoa; Chordata; Chondrichthyes; Orectolobiformes; Hemiscylliidae
Source: RefSeq, a predicted model, not a curated record